CGCCGUAAACGAUGUCAACUAGUUGUUCGUGUCAUAAACGAUGUGAGUAACGCAGCUAACGCACUAAGUUGACCGCCUGGGGAGUACGGCCGCAAGGUUAAAACUCAAAUGAAUUGACGGGGGCCCGCACAAGCGGUGGAGCAUGUGGUUUAAUUCGAUGCAACGCGAAGAACCUUACCAUCCCUUGACAUCCAGUGAAUUUUCCAGAGAUAGAUGAGUGCCUUCGGGAACACUGAGACAGGUGCUGCAUGGCUGUCGUCAGCUCGUGUUGUGAGAUGUUGGGUUAAGUCCCGCAACGAGCGCAACCCUUAUCCUCAGUUGCCAGCACGUAAUGGUGGGAACUCUGUGGAGACUGCCGGUGAUAAACCGGAGGAAGGUGGGGACGACGUCAAGUCAUCAUGGCCCUUACGGGAUGGGCUACACACGUGCUACAAUGGCGCAUACAAAGGGAAGCAAGCUAGCGAUAGCAAGCGGAUCUCAAAAAGUGCGUCGUAGUCCGGAUCGGAGUCUGCAACUCGACUCCGUGAAGUCGGAAUCGCUAGUAAUCGCGGAUCAGAAUGCCGCGGUGAAUACGUUCCCGGGCCUUGUACACACCGCCCGUCACACCAUGGGAGUGGGCUGCACCAGAAGUAGUUAGCUUAACCUU
RNAcentral lists this ribosomal RNA (646 nucleotides) under Idiomarina sp. SBC12. RNAcentral's name for it is "bacterial SSU rRNA". It matches the Rfam family "Bacterial small subunit ribosomal RNA", at positions 798 to 1442 of the family's 1533-position model. The record is from RNAcentral. Lineage: Bacteria; Pseudomonadati; Pseudomonadota; Gammaproteobacteria; Alteromonadales; Idiomarinaceae.